GAUGAACGCUGGCGGCGUGCCUAAUACAUGCAAGUCGAGCGAACAGACGAGGAGCUUGCUCCUCUGACGUUAGCGGCGGACGGGUGAGUAACACGUGGAUAACCUACCUAUAAGACUGGGAUCACUUCGGGAAACCGGAGCUAAUACCGUAUAAUAUAUUGAACCGCAUGGUUCAAUAGUGAAAGACGGUUUUGCUGUCACUUAUCGAUGGAUCCGCGCCGCAUUAGCUAGUUGGUAAGGUAACGGCUUACCAAGGCAACGAUGCGUAGCCGACCUGAGAGAGGGAUCGGCCACACGGGAACUGAGCCACGGUCCAGACUCCUGCGGGAGGCAGCAGUAGGGAAUCUUCCGCAAUGGGCGAAAGCCUGACGGAGCAACGCCGCGUGAGUGAUGAAGGUCUUCGGAUCGUAAAACUCUGUUAUUAGGGAAGAACAAAUGUGUAAGUAACUAUGCACGUCUUGACGGUACCUAAUCAGAAAGCCACGGCUAACUACGUG
RNAcentral lists this ribosomal RNA (497 nucleotides) under uncultured bacterium. RNAcentral's name for it is "partial 16S ribosomal RNA". It matches the Rfam family "Bacterial small subunit ribosomal RNA", at positions 28 to 507 of the family's 1533-position model. The record is from RNAcentral.